GGCAACCCUGAGUAGAGUGGCGGACGGGUGAGAAACGCGUAGGAAUCUACCUCGUAGUGGGGGACAACCCGGCGAAAGCCAGGCUAAUACCGCAUACGAUCCACGGAUGAAAGCAGGGGACCGCAAGGCCUUGCGCUAUGAGAUGAGCCUGCGUCGGAUUAGCUAGUUGGUGAGGUAACGGCUCACCAAGGCAACGAUCCGUAGCUGGUUUGAGAGAACGACCAGCCACACUGGGACUGAGACACGGCCCAGACUCCUACGGGAGGCAGCAGUGGGGAAUAUUGGACAAUGGGGGCAACCCUGAUCCAGCAAUGCCGCGUGUGUGAAGAAGGCCUUCGGGUUGUAAAGCACUUUCGAUGGGGAAAAACAAGCUAGACCUAACACGUCUGGCCCUGAUGGUACCCAGAGAAGAAGCACCGGCUAACUCUGUGCCAGCAGCCGCGGUAAUACAGAGGGUGCAAGCGUUAAUCGGAAUUACUGGGCGUAAAGGGUGCGUAGGUGGUUUGUUAAGUCAAGUGUGAAAUCCCUGGGCUCAACCUGGGAACUGCAUUUGAUACUGGCAGACUCGAGUCUGGUAGAGGGUGGUGGAAUUCCGCAUGUAGCGGUGAAAUGCGUAGAGAUGCGGAGGAACAUCAGUGGCGAAGGCGGCCACCUGGACCAAGACUGACACUGAGGCACGA
This 680-nucleotide ribosomal RNA is filed under the name uncultured bacterium. Its description in RNAcentral is "bacterial SSU rRNA". It matches the Rfam family "Bacterial small subunit ribosomal RNA", at positions 78 to 756 of the family's 1533-position model. The record is from RNAcentral.